Molecule: ribosomal RNA, 253 nt
Filed under: uncultured bacterium
Lineage: Bacteria
Description: partial 16S ribosomal RNA
Rfam family: Bacterial small subunit ribosomal RNA
Source: RNAcentral
UACGUAGGAUGCAAGCGUUGUCCGGAAUUAUUGGGCGUAAAGAGCGCGCAGGCGGUAUGACAAGUCAGAUGUGAAAGAGGCCGGCUUAACCGGCAAGGGUCAUUUGAAACUGUCAGACUAGAGUGCAGCAGAGGAUAGUGGAAUUCCCGGUGUAGUGGUGAAAUGCGUAGAUAUCGGGAGGAACACCAGUGGCGAAGGCGACUAUCUGGGCUGCAACUGACGCUGAGGCACGAAAGCGUGGGGAGCAAACAGG